Long non-coding RNA from Girardinichthys multiradiatus, 954 nucleotides. RefSeq lists it as uncharacterized. Lineage: Eukaryota; Metazoa; Chordata; Actinopteri; Cyprinodontiformes; Goodeidae. The transcript has 2 exons. The record is from RefSeq and is a predicted model, not a curated record.
UCUAACUAUCCACUUGCUAGAGCUGCAUGAAUAUAUACAUUUUUCAAAAGUAGUACUAUUCUGCAGUGAAUAGGUAGGCAAGAAGUAUAGUGCAUCACUCAGUAACUAUUUUGAGGAGCCAAGUUGUUUCUUGGAGAAAGCAAGUUUUAUUGCUCUAAUGUGCACUCAGUCAUGAACUUAAGCGUUUAAUAGUUCCUUUUGAGGUGAAGUUGGAAGAAAAAAGGGUAGAGCAACCUUUUAAAUGCAGAUUCUCAUGUGCAUAUGUUAUGAUUCUGGCCCGUCUGCCUGCUCUGCUCUCACUCAUGCAAUCAACUCAUCUGCUUCACCUGUCUGCUGCUGCACUGCUACGCAAUCACCGUCAUGCCACACAAAUGUGGAGCUGCAGUUAUAUACAGCCCUCUGACAGGCAGACGGUGCCAGAUUUUCGAAAACAUUUGUGAGUAGUUUUCCAGCGUUCCUUCCUGACUGAUCUCGUUCUCUGACCUUGCAUUGCCUCACAGAUUUUGCCUUCCUGCCAGCCCCUUGACUGACAGACUGGAGUUCUGGAUUUUGACUCUGUUUUCUGCCUCUGGUUUCAUGCCUCUGCCUGCUCCUUGUCUGACGCCUCUAGCCAUGGAACUCGACUCUGUUUCUGUCCCUGGAUUUACGCCCCAGCCAAGGCACUGGUUUAUUCAGCCUGGGCCCGCCUGGCUCUCAAGUCCACCUGGAAUUAUUGUCAAGAGGACAAUCGCAGCUCUCUCUGUUCCGGUCACAGCUUCAGCUGAUUCCCCUGAGGAUUUGGAUCAGUCGGCAAUCCGACUUCAGUCUGUUGGAUUCUUCCUCAUUAACUGUCUGAAUCACAUCCUCUUCUGGAUUAUGCGCCUCAUUCCCAGACUGAGAAGUGAUUCAUGGAAGCUGAGUGCUGCUCUCCUGCUUUCUGAUCCUGAGUUACUGAAUAAACCUUGUAACUUUUCA